GACGAACGCUGGCGGCGUGCUUAACACAUGCAAGUCGAACGGAAAGGCCCUGCUUGCAGGGUGCUCGAGUGGCGAACGGGUGAGUAACACGUGGGUGAUCUGCCCCUUACUUUGGGAUAAGCCUGGGAAACUGGGUCUAGUACUGGAUAGGACCAUGCUGUAGGUGGUGUGGUGGAAAGAUUAGUUUCGGUAAGGGAUGAGCUCGCGGCCUAUCAGCUUGUUGGUGGAGUAAUGGCCUACCAAGGCGUCGACGGGUAGCCGGCCUGAGAGGGUGGACGGCCACAUUGGGACUGAGAUACGGCCCAGACUCCUACGGGAGGCAGCAGUGGGGAAUAUUGCACAAUGGGCGCAAGCCUGAUGCAGCGACGCCGCGUGGGGGAUGACGGCCUUCGGGUUGUAAACUCCUUUCAGCCAUGACGAAGCCCUUGUGGUGACGGUAGUGGUAGAAGAAGCACCGGCUAACUACGUG
Molecule: ribosomal RNA, 469 nt
Filed under: uncultured bacterium
Lineage: Bacteria
Description: partial 16S ribosomal RNA
Rfam family: Bacterial small subunit ribosomal RNA
Source: RNAcentral